AACUUAGCAGAGAUGCUUUGGUGCCUUCGGGAACUCUGAGACAAGUGCUGCAUGGCUGUCGUCAGCUCGUGUUGUGAAAUGUUGGGUUAAGUCCCGCAACGAGCGCAACCCUUAUCCUUUGUUGCCAGCGGCUCGGCCGGGAACUCAAAGGAGACUGCCGGUGAUAAACCGGAGGAAGGUGGGGAUGACGUCAAGUCAUCAUGGCCCUUACGGCCAGGGCUACACACGUGCUACAAUGGCGCAUACAAAGAGAAGCGACCUCGCGAGAGCAAGCGGACCUCACAAAGUGCGUCGUAGUCCGGAUUGGAGUCUGCAACUCGACUCCAUGAAGUCGGAAUCGCUAGUAAUCGUAGAUCAGAAUGCUACGGUGAAUACGUUCCCGGGCCUUGUACACACCGCCCGUCACACCAUGGGAGUGGGUUGCAAAAGAAGUAGGUAGCUUAACCUUCGGGAGGGCGCUUACCACUUUGUGAUUCAUGACUGGGGUGAAGUCGUAACAAGGUAAGCGUAGCGAG
RNAcentral lists this ribosomal RNA (515 nucleotides) under uncultured bacterium. RNAcentral describes it as "bacterial SSU rRNA". It matches the Rfam family "Bacterial small subunit ribosomal RNA", at positions 994 to 1509 of the family's 1533-position model. The record is from RNAcentral.